Molecule: long non-coding RNA, 1008 nt
Filed under: Callithrix jacchus (white-tufted-ear marmoset)
Lineage: Eukaryota; Metazoa; Chordata; Mammalia; Primates; Cebidae
Description: lncRNA (ENSCJAG00000087384.1)
Source: RNAcentral
GAAAAAUAUUUUAUUGUGUGCAUUAUGUAAUAUCUUGUUUAGCCAUUAAUCAGCUGAUGGACAUUUGAGUUUUUUCCACAUUUAGCUAUUGUGAAUUGUACUGCUAUGAAUAUUUAUAUAUAAGUUUUGUGUAAAACUCCUGUUUUCAGGGUAUAAAUUUUGGGGGUCAUAUAUCUAAGAGUGGAGAUGCUGAGUCAUAUCAUAUUUCUGUGUUUCAUUUUUUUAAGGAACUGCCAAAAUAUUUUCCACAUGAGUUGCACCAUGUUGCAUUCCUACCUGCAAAGUAUGGGAGUUUCACUCUCUUCAGAUCAUCACCAACCAUUGUUAUUUUCUGUUAUAGUUUUUGACAUGGCCAUCCCAACAUCCAGUCAUCCAGGCUGGAGUGCAGUGGUGCAAUCAUGUCUCACUACAGCCUCAACCUCCUGGGCUCAGGUGACCCUCCCGCCUCAGUCGCUCAAGUAGCUGGGACCACAGCUCAUGCUCAACUAAUUUUUUUUUUGUAUUUUUUGUAGAUAUGGGUAUUUGCCAUGUUGCCCAGGCAGGUCUUGAACACGUGGGCUCUAGCAAUCCUUCCUCUUCAGUCUUCCAAAGUUCUGAGAUUAUAGGCAUGAGCCAUCAAAUUACGGUUAUGUAUUGGUUGAUUGGGUUUGCUAGAAUUUUUAACAAAAUUUUUGCAUCUACUUUCAUAAUGAACACAGGUCUGUUAUUUUCUUUCUUAUGAUUCUAUUGUCUUGUUUUGCUUCAGGGUAAUAAUGGCUUCAAAGAAUGAGUUGGCAAGUGUUCUCUUUCCUUCUUUUUUUUUUGGAAGAGUUUGAGAACAAUUGUUAAUUUUUCUUUACAUUUUUGGAAGAAUACAGCAGUCAAACCAUCUGUCUCUUUUAUUGGUAAUUUUAUGAUUAUUGAUUCAAUAUUUUUACUUACUGUGAAUCUAUUCAGACUUUCAAUUAUUUUUACUCAAUUUCAUAGUGUGUGUGUUUCUAGGAAUUUGUUCAUUUUAAUUAAGGAAUU